Molecule: ribosomal RNA, 333 nt
Filed under: uncultured Wolbachia sp.
Lineage: Bacteria; Pseudomonadati; Pseudomonadota; Alphaproteobacteria; Rickettsiales; Anaplasmataceae
Description: partial 16S ribosomal RNA
Rfam family: Bacterial small subunit ribosomal RNA (bases 42-333)
Source: RNAcentral
CUCUCCCAUAUGGUCGACCUGCAGGCGGCCGCGAAUUCACUAGUGAUUAGAGUUUGAUCAUGGCUCAGAAUGAACGCUGGCGGCAGGCCUAACACAUGCAAGUCGAACGGAGUUAUAUUGUAGCUUGCUAUGGUAUAACUUAGUGGCAGACGGGUGAGUAAUGUAUAGGAAUCUACCUAGUAGUACGGAAUAAUUGUUGGAAACGGCAACUAAUACCGUAUACCACCCUACGGGGGAAAAAUUUAUUGCUAUUAGAUGAGCCUAUAUUAGAUUAGCUAGUUGGUGGAGUAAUAGCCUACCAAAGGCAAUGAUCUAUAGCUGAUCUGAGAGGGA